UGGGGAAUAUUGGACAAUGGGCGAAAGCCUGAUCCAGCCAUGCCGCGUGUGUGAAGAAGGUCUUCGGCUUGUAAAGCACUUUAAGUUGGGAGGAAGGGCUGUCGGCUAAUACCCUGCAGUUUUGACGUUACCAACAGAAUAAGCACCGGCUAACUUCGUGCCAGCAGCCGCGGUAAUACGAAGGGUGCAAGCGUUAAUCGGAAUUACUGGGCGUAAAGCGCGCGCAGGUGGUUCAGCAAGUUGGAUGUGAAAUCCCCGGGCUCAACCAGGGAACUGCAGCGAAAACUACUGAGCGAGAGUAGGGUAGAGGAGGGUGGAAUUUCCUGUGUAGCGGUGGAAUGCGUAGAUAUAGGAAGGAACACCAGUAGCGAAGGCGACCACCGGGACUGAUACUGACGCUGAGGUGCGAAAGCGGGGGGAGCAAACAG
RNAcentral lists this ribosomal RNA (428 nucleotides) under uncultured bacterium. Its description in RNAcentral is "bacterial SSU rRNA". It matches the Rfam family "Bacterial small subunit ribosomal RNA", at positions 355 to 775 of the family's 1533-position model. The record is from RNAcentral.